AGUGAACGCUGGCGGUAGGCUUAACACAUGCAAGUCGAACGGCAGCACAGUAAGAGCUUGCUCUUACGGGUGGCGAGUGGCGGACGGGUGAGGAAUACAUCGGAAUCUACUUUUUCGUGGGGGAUAACGUAGGGAAACUUACGCUAAUACCGCAUACGACCUACGGGUGAAAGCAGGGGAUAUUCGGACCUUGCGCGAUUGAAUGAGCCGAUGUCGGAUUAGCUAGUUGGCGGGGUAAAGGCCCACCAAGGCGACGAUCCGUAGCUGGUCUGAGAGGAUGAUCAGCCACACUAGAACUGAGACACGGUCCAUAGGCCUACGGGAGGGAGCAGUGGGGAAUGUUGGACAAUGGGGGCAAGCCUGAUCCAGCCAUACCGAGUGGGUGAAGGAGGCCUUCGGGUUGUAAAGCCCUUUUGUUGGGAAAGAAAAGCAUCAGGUUAAUACCCCGCGGUUCUGACGGUACCCAAAGAAUAAGCACCGGCUAACUUCGUG
Molecule: ribosomal RNA, 492 nt
Filed under: uncultured bacterium
Lineage: Bacteria
Description: partial 16S ribosomal RNA
Rfam family: Bacterial small subunit ribosomal RNA
Source: RNAcentral